UGGCGGUUCUUCAGACCUAUUAGAGGGGUGUGUAGUUAAACGAAAUCACACGAAAAUCUUACCUAAAUUUUUAGUAAUUUUCUAUUUUUUAUUUUAAAAUAGUUGAAAACUUACAAAUUUUGUACACCUCCGUCUGAAGGAUAAUUUUACCAAACUAUCCCCCAUCUAUCUAUGAAUACAUGAUUUAUAUAUAUAUAUAUAUAGAGAUAAGUCAGGUCAAGGUGCAGAUUAUAUUUAGGAAUCUAUGCAUUUCAGUAAAAAUUGGAAUAGAAAAGAGAACUUGUAAUAGUUUCUAUAAAGAAUUUAAAAGUAAGAAAUAAAUUUCUAUUAUAGAUUUCUGAAGAAGGAUAUAAAGAAUGCACACAUCGCCCG
Molecule: ribosomal RNA, 372 nt
Filed under: Austrogoniodes cristati
Lineage: Eukaryota; Metazoa; Arthropoda; Insecta; Psocodea; Philopteridae
Description: partial small subunit ribosomal RNA
Source: RNAcentral